Molecule: non-coding RNA, 159 nt
Filed under: Tropilaelaps mercedesae
Lineage: Eukaryota; Metazoa; Arthropoda; Arachnida; Mesostigmata; Laelapidae
Description: Bacterial large subunit ribosomal RNA
Rfam family: Bacterial large subunit ribosomal RNA
Source: Rfam by way of RNAcentral
GAUAACAGCGUUAUUAUUUUAAAAAGUUCAUAUUGAUAAAAUAGUUUGUGACCUCGAUGUUGAAUUAAUGAACCUUUAAGGUGAAAAAGCUUUAAAAGGUGAAUUGCUCCUCCAUUCAAUCAUUACAUGAUUUGAGUUCAGACCGACGUAAGCCAGGUU